This is a long non-coding RNA of Fundulus heteroclitus (mummichog), 667 nucleotides long. RefSeq lists it as uncharacterized. The transcript is spliced from 2 exons. The record is from RefSeq and is a predicted model, not a curated record. Lineage: Eukaryota; Metazoa; Chordata; Actinopteri; Cyprinodontiformes; Fundulidae.
CUGCUGAACUGUGCUGGGUGAGCGUGGCUGUUUCUUUGUUUGUUAGCUUUAAUCUUAGUUAUUAAUGUAGUUUGGUCUGCUCUGUUUAGCUUCUUUCGUUGCUCCUCCAAAACCUGGACUGAUCUGUUUGUGUUUGCUUGGUGCUGGGAAGGUAAGGGCUAGCGUGGCUAGAUAACAUCCACCCCAUAUAAAUAAAGCCUUCACACAGCAUUUUGUUACAGCUGCGCUGCAUAGGCGGAAUUGUGACUCCGUUUAUUUGGCAGCCUGGUAAUGAAACAGGUAAGCGGCUAUCACAAAUACUAGUUUUCAUCAGCAGUUGUAUUGAUGAUCUGCUCUAUUUUUUUAGCUUCCUGAUGAGUCUUUGACCACCAUAAUACUGGAUUUGACACUCGCUGCUGUUUUGCCUAUAAAGAACUGUUUCGCCUAAAGAAAUUCUUAAAAGGACCUAUCUGGACUUUCCCCCUGCUGCCAGGAGCAUUGAUGACACUACCAUCCGGGAAAAAGUGCAAUAUUGUAGUGCUAUUGUACCACUGUUUUACUCAUAUUGUUUCAUUUUUGCCUUUCUUUUAGGGACUGAGGCUUCUGUGGUGGCGGUGGUGAUCCCUGGUGGCGUUGUCGGUAUCCCAUAUUAACUUUAACAUCUUACAUUUGGGUUUCAUAAAAAAAA